GGCCGGAGGGACCCCCCCCAACCUCCGCCCUAUAGAUCCCAAAAGCGGGGGGGGGGGAAUGGGAUGUGGGGUGGGACCCCAUUGGGAUCCCAUAGGGGGAGUGGGGGCGAAAUGUGUGGGGCAAUGGGGUGUGGGGUGGGACCCCAUUGGGGGACCCCAUAAGGUUUGGGGUUCACCAUAUUGGGGGCUCAAUGUGUGGGGCAGUGGGAUGUGGGGUGGGACCCCAUUGGGAUCCCAUGGGAGGGGAAUGGGGGAUCAAUGUGUGGGGCAAUGGAGUGUGGGGUGGGACCCCAAUGGGAUCCCAUUGGGGGAAUGGGGGCCCAAUGUGUGGGGCAAUGGGGUGUGGGGUGGGACCCCAUUGGGGGACCCUAUAAAGGGUGGGGUUCUCCAUAUUGGGGUCCCAUGGGGAGGGGAAUGGGGGCUCAAUGUGUGGGGCAGUGGGGUGUGGGGUGGGACCCCAUUGGGGGACCCCAUAAGGUUUGGGGUUCUCCAUAUGGAGGUCCCAUUGGGAGGGGAAUGGGGUCCCAAUGUGUGGGGUAAUGGGAUAUGGGGUGGGGUGGGACCCCAUUGGGAUCCCAUAGGGGGAGUGGGGGCUCAAUGUGUGGGGCAAUGGGGUGUGGGGUGGGACCCCAUUGGGGGACCCCAUAAGGUUUGGGGAUCACCAUAUUGGGGGCUCAAUGUGUGGGGCAGUGGGGUGUGGGGUGGGACCCCAUUGGGAUCCCAUUGGGGGAAUGGGGGCCCAAUGUGUGGGGCAGUGGGGUGUGGGGUGGGACCCCAUUGGGGGACCCCAUAAGGUUUGGAGUUCUCCAUCAGUGGGGUCCCAGCAGAGGAAUGGGGACCCCAAACUGUGGGGCAAUGGGAUGUGGGGUGGGACCCCAUUGGGAUCCCAUUGGUGGGGGAAUGGGGGCUCAAUGUGUGGGGCAAUGGGGUGUGGGGUGGGACCCCAUUGGGGGACCCCAUAAACUUUGGGGUUCACCAUAUUGGGGGCUCAAUGUGUGGGGUAAUGGGAUGUGGGGUGGGGUGGGACCCCAUUGGGAUCCCAUGGGAGGGGAAUGGGGGCUCAAUGUGUGGGGCAAUGGAGUGUGGGGUGGGACCCCAUUGGGGGACCCCAUAAGGUUUGGGGUUCUCCAUAUGGAGGUCCCAUUGGGAGGGGAAUGGGGUCCCAAUGUGUGGGGUAAUGGGAUAUGGGGUGGGGUGGGACCCCAUUGGGAUCCCAUAGGGGGAGUGGGGGCGAAAUGUGUGGGGCAAUGGGGUGUGGGGUGGGACCCCAUUGGGGGACCCCAUAAGGUUUGGGGUUCUCCAUAUGGAGGUCCCAUUGGGAGGGGAAUGGGGACCCCAAUGUGUGGGGAAAUGGGGUGUGGGGUGGGACCCCACUGGGGGACCCCAUAAACUUUGGGUCCUCUAUUAGUGGGAUUUUGGGGUCCCCCAUUAUAGGGCUAUGGGGUGACCCCA
RNAcentral lists this long non-coding RNA (1452 nucleotides) under Gallus gallus (chicken). RNAcentral's name for it is "lncRNA (ENSGALG00010000691.1)". The record is from RNAcentral. Lineage: Eukaryota; Metazoa; Chordata; Aves; Galliformes; Phasianidae.